Non-coding RNA from Schizosaccharomyces pombe (fission yeast), 1747 nucleotides. The record is from the annotation of a GenBank genome assembly. Lineage: Eukaryota; Fungi; Ascomycota; Schizosaccharomycetes; Schizosaccharomycetales; Schizosaccharomycetaceae.
UUUGAAGUGUAUACAUUUUAUACUUCGUUAUGCAUAGAUUGUUCGGUGUUGUUCUAUUUUAUGAUUGUCAAAAAAUACUCAUCAUAAAUAAAAGAUGCUUACAUUAAAUCUUAACUAUUAAAGUAAGAUUAUCACCUAUUUUGAAUAAAAAGACCAGUGUUUAUCAAUUAAAUUUCAAACGUUUGUUCAACAGCUAGAUAGCUUGGAAAAUAAGUAAAACAAUCCGAAAAGGUACGUGAAAGACAGAUGAUAUAAAAAAAAGCAAAAAAUUAAUAUUUGUAAGCCCUAGCUUUUAACUCUGGCAUUAAUUGCAGUUAAGUAAAUCGUCCGUGCAGAAAAAAAAACAGCAUAUUAAGUGAGAAUGCAAUUACGAUAUCAAAACUCAUUCAUCUAAGAAUCCAUCACCUAUUAAAUUCACCCAUUGGGUGACACAACCUCCAGAAGUAGAUUCUAUUUCUGAUAACUCAGGAAUGCAUUCGCAAUUGCAACCCAGACUUUGUCCACAAUGAUGAAUGUCAGAAUGCCGAUAUCCUAAAUCACGAAAAUAAUGAACCUGUUCUUUCGACAAGAACAGUCCAGCAGCUAGAGAGUGAAAUGGAGCGUCUCCCCAUCUUUCAGUCCAAAAGCCUCCUGUCGCAUCCAUUGUACGGAAGAAGUUCUCAUACUGUUCAUUUCUGAAGAACUUGAAAUUUGCAAUCUCAAAAUUGCUCCAAAAAUGACACAUAUUAUAGGACUCCCCUUCCAUUGAAGAUGUUUCUGCUGAAUAUGAUGAGUCAAUCAUAGCAUUUAAAUGAGAGGAAAAGGAGAGACCUACUGUAGGGUCUUUUCUUGAAAUAUCGUAGUUUUCCUUUUUAGGAGCAUCCAAAAAGAAUUUCCACAUGUUAGAGGUUAAAUUAUUAUUUCGACGAUAAGCCGAGGUAUAUCGAAACAAGUUUGGAACAGUGUCUUCUAAUUCCUUUAAUGCUACAACAUAACCAUAUAUUUUCCCAUUUUCUUCCAUGUAGUAGAAAGGGUCAUAAGAUAUAUCGCAUGUGAAAGCUACGUCGGGUUCAACUCGCCAGUACCAUUGAUAUUUGAGUAGCAACGGAUGCUUAUAAAAGAACCCCGAAAAAAAGCGACACAUAUGAUGGUAACUUUCUGUAUCACCAUACAUGAUACCUCGAUCUCCUUGACUUGCAAUAGCUUCACGCGCUGCAUCUACAUCAACAUUACCAGGAAAUCCAAAAGUAUCUUUUUCAAGCGUUCCAAAUUCAACGUUCGCAGAUGUAAGUUUAAGAAUGGUUUCCUUAAAUUUUUCAUCAAAGGGCUCAUCGUUUAAAAAUGUAUAAGGGUAAUUAAAAUGUCGAUUAAAGUGUUUCUCCAAUGAAUUGAUAGAAGAAACAACACCUGGCAAGUCUGAAUUACGAGCAAGCAUAACAAAAGUUGCAUUCAUUCUCGGAUGCAACUGUGCUUCCAAAUGAACGUUCUUACAGCCAUUUGAAAACAAAGGAUCAUUCCUUUCAUCAAUCCGUCUAAGAGGAGGAUGAUUAAGUUUAUAAAUUAGUUGUUUGUAUCCCAUCUUUAAAAUAAAAAUUAGCACUAUCAGUAGUAAGACCAGUACAAACCGUGCAGACAAAGGACAUCUUUUUUUAAGUUUUUUUCGCAAAAGGCAUCGAAAAUUAAUCCUGCUUUCAGAAAAAAAAACAUGUUUGUUCCACCCUAGCAUUUUGUACUGGCAAAGAGUAAUAAAUCCAGAUGUGAGACUGUA